GGCAAUUCUGGUGCUCAGUUUGAUUAUUUACCCAAGUGGUUUAUCCGGGACUGUGAAAUAUGAUUCGAGAAGGCUAGAAUGAAGCGAGCGGCCCUGGGGGAUGAGGCACCUUGGAUUGUAAAUCAAUCUUCUCCUUACAGAGACUCCUGUGGUUAAACAUUACAAGGUGAAGAGUGGCCCCCUGGUGGGACACCUUGCACAAUUGCCAUGUUAGCCGAGAAUAUUGUGUUUCUGGAAAUGCUCGGAUGGAAGAUAGAGAAUCCCCUCUUGGGACUGUGUUUUCUGCACGUGGGAGCAUCUGUUUACAGGGAGGAGGUGAAAUUUGUUCUUACCUGGAAAUAAUUGGAACUAUGCCUUGUCAGAAGCCAUGAAAAUAGUGAGUCCUUGGAUGUCUGGGCUCCCAAUCCUGAAUUUGAGGUAUGUGUGAAGACCGUUCUUCAGCUUCUCUGUGUCUCAUUCAAGAUUCAUAGGACUUCAGUGCUUAGUAAACAUCUUGGGGACAAUUUAUUCCUACC
This 515-nucleotide long non-coding RNA is filed under the name Dasypus novemcinctus (nine-banded armadillo). Its description in RNAcentral is "lncRNA (ENSDNOG00000051798.1)". Lineage: Eukaryota; Metazoa; Chordata; Mammalia; Cingulata; Dasypodidae. The record is from RNAcentral.